This 285-nucleotide long non-coding RNA is filed under the name Elaeis guineensis (African oil palm). RNAcentral's name for it is "long non-coding RNA (EGUI_LNC043076)". Lineage: Eukaryota; Viridiplantae; Streptophyta; Magnoliopsida; Arecales; Arecaceae. The record is from RNAcentral.
GCGCCAACAUAGUCCCACGAUAAACCAGAUUUGGAUGCCACAUCCCAUCAAUUUUUGUAAAGUUUUUAGCGUGUAAUAAGCUCCUUAAAAACCUCUUCUUUUCAUGUAAAAUCUGGGCGAAAAGGAUGAAGGUGGGCGGCAUUAAAAUUGGAAGUCCUAAGAGCUUUAGACUCUUAUCUCCUACUCAAACUAUAUCUCCUCUCUUCCCUAUUUAAACCCAGCACCUUUGGGAUGUUGGAUAGCUGAUGUGAUCAGUUUAUGGAUGCCACAAACCAGAGGAGAUGC